ACGUAGGGAGCGAGCGUUGUCCGGAUUUACUGGGUGUAAAGGGUGCGUAGGCGGAUUGGCAAGUCAGAAGUGAAAUCCAUGGGCUUAACCCAUGAACUGCUUUUGAAACUGUUAGUCUUGAGUGAAGUAGAGGUAGGCGGAAUUCCCGGUGUAGCGGUGAAAUGCGUAGAGAUCGGGAGGAACACCAGUGGCGAAGGCGGCCUACUGGGCUUUAACUGACGCUGAGGCACGAAAGUGUGGGUAGCAAACAG
RNAcentral lists this ribosomal RNA (251 nucleotides) under uncultured bacterium. RNAcentral describes it as "partial 16S ribosomal RNA". It matches the Rfam family "Bacterial small subunit ribosomal RNA", at positions 525 to 775 of the family's 1533-position model. The record is from RNAcentral.